This 440-nucleotide ribosomal RNA is filed under the name uncultured bacterium. RNAcentral's name for it is "partial 16S ribosomal RNA". It matches the Rfam family "Bacterial small subunit ribosomal RNA", at positions 338 to 795 of the family's 1533-position model. The record is from RNAcentral.
CCUACGGGUGGCAGCAGUGGGGAAUUUUGCGCAAUGGGCGAAACCCUGAUGCAGCAACGCCGCGUGAGUGAUUAAGCCCUUCGGUGUGUAAAGCUCUGUCAGCAGGGAAGAAAAUGACGGUAACUGAGAAAGAAGCCACGGCGAACUUCGUGCCAGCCGCCGCGGUAAGACGUGGGGGGCAAGCGUUAUCCGGAGUUAAUUGGUGUAAAGGGGGCGUAGACGGCAGUGCAAGUCUGGAGUGAAAGGCCGGGGCUCAACCCCCGGACGGCUCUGGAAACUGUACGGCUGGAGUGCAGGAGAGGUAAGGGGAAUUCCUAGUGUAGCGGUGAAAUGCGUAGAUAUUAGGAGGAACACCAGUGGCGAAGGCGGCUUACUGGACUGUAACUGACGUUGAGGCACGAAAGCGUGGGGAGCAAACAGGAUUAGAUACCCGAGUAGUC